Molecule: long non-coding RNA, 384 nt
Organism: Ipomoea triloba (trilobed morning glory)
Lineage: Eukaryota; Viridiplantae; Streptophyta; Magnoliopsida; Solanales; Convolvulaceae
Exons: 2
Source: RefSeq, a predicted model, not a curated record
GUUGCCUGGGCAUGUAACUCUACUGGCUCAAUUUGUUUCGGAACCAUCCCCUGUAAAAUCUACUGUUACAAAAGCAGUGGCAGAGUUCCGGCGAACUCAUGCGGAUACAUGGAAUAUACAAAAAGAUUCCUUCAGCGAAGAGCAGCUUGAGGUUCUGGCUGAUACAUCCUCGUCUUCAUCGUACUUUGCUUGAUAUGUGGUAUUGUUAUUAUAAUUAUUAUUGUUUUUUAAAAAUAUUUUAUUUUCAUAUUAUGAGCAAAAAGAAUUACUGUAAGAGAGAAACGCACAAAUUUAGGAAAUUGUAUUUAAUGCUUUGUUGAUCAUUUAAUUUAAUUGAUUAUAUCUGUACUUUUCCUUCAUAAAUGCAGAUUCUUUUUAGUCUAA